Molecule: transfer RNA, 86 nt
Filed under: Nematostella vectensis (starlet sea anemone)
Lineage: Eukaryota; Metazoa; Cnidaria; Anthozoa; Actiniaria; Edwardsiidae
Rfam family: tRNA
About the family: Transfer RNA (tRNA) molecules are approximately 80 nucleotides in length.
Source: Rfam by way of RNAcentral
GACUCGUUAGCGCAGUAGGCAGCGCGUCAGUCUCAUAAUCAAAUCUAGAAAUCUGAAGGUCAUGAGUUCGAUCCUCACACGGGGCA